ACUGUGGUUUACAGAAAUUAUGCAAAGAGACAAUUGAAUCUUAUUUUCUGCCCUCAGAUACCUGACCUGCUCUAGGAUUACAAAAAUCCACAUUCCUGUUACAUGACAGAGGUCAGAAUUUACUGGCAUCAAUGGCAGCUGCUGCAGAGAGCAAAGCACUGAGGCAGGGCUUGAUGGCAGCGGGGCUGCUCCCGCACCGCACUUCCCGGGUGGUGAUGAUGUGUGAAAUAGUGUCCUCUGCUGCACGAACCGACACAGUGCGCCUACUCUGAGUUGCCCCGCAGGAAGACAGACUGGAGGAGGAAAGCUUGAACAACAAUAAAUCCUGAUCUAAAGGUAACAUUUUCCCUGUUAACCUGAAUAUGAUUUAUCUUAAUAACUAAAUCGGCUGACAAAAACAGAUGCCUUGAAUGGCGGCUUGGUCCAUUGCAAAAGCCUGUGACAGCUGUUGAUAUUGUUCCUGAGUAUUGUCUCUUUCAGAAGAAUAAAGGGGGUGGUUACAUACUGCUUACAGUGUUCUUAAGUUGAAACUAAGGACAUUUCACACUUCAGAACCACCUGAGCAGUGUGGAGAAGCUCAGUUCUGACUUCAGGUGCUGGACAUCCAGGGAGGCUGGUAGCCCUGACUUUAUGGUGACUAACUCAGCUUAAAUUCACUGAACUUACAAUCGUUACACAAGCCACGACAACAGAAAGCAAGAGCCAUUACAGUGGAUUUAGGUGUUAAUGAAAGCAGUGUUUUAAAUAGUGUUGGCUACUGCCUGUGCAGUACAAUAUACAGUAGCACUUUAUAACCUAACUCGGCCAUGGAGCAUUUCUCCUGCCCCAUUUUGUUGUUUCCUUCCAAAGACUUGUGCAGAUUACAUCACAUGAUGGUUCACUGAUGCACAAUAAAACAUGAAUUACUUUUCAAACUUUAUUCAAAACAAAAUGUGACAUUUACUUGGCUUUUGUACCUCUCAGAGUACUAUAGGAACAAUGAGCAGGCAUUCUUACAUCCCUUUUAUGCAAACUGGGACAGAGAGAGGUAUUAGAAAAGUGUCCUCUUUAUCAAACUUACUCCAGCUUUCCUACAUCUAUUGCUACUCUGGAUAAAUUCUUUAACUUUAGGAAGAUAGGUUUGAGUGGAUGAAAUAAAUUCUUGAAUUAAUCCAGGCUUUUUAUUUUUUUUUAAUAAUAUUACUGAUGGCCCAUUAUUAGUAAUUGACUUCACCAUCAAAUAGCUGACAACCAGCCUGAGCUUACACAAUUAGCAGGAAAUGUCAUGUCUUUGUGGUCUCUCUCAGAUUUUUUCCAGUUCUGAUGAUGUUAUAUUGGAGCAUUCUCUUGAUUAUUUGUUUUUUUAACUUUCAGAAUUUGAGAGUCCCAGUAUGAAUAUGACAUAAUUUCUUUUCUAAGUUUCUUUAUUCAUGGUCUGGACCACUUUCUUGACAGCUGUAAGAAGAGAGUAUCCUUCUCUUUAACUUGACUGCUGAUAUUUCUUUUUUAUAAGGCAAAUUAUAAAUAAAUUAUACUUAGGGGAAUUGAUUUGUAGGUGGAGUUCCCUGACACUUAAUAGAUAGUGGAAGCAAUAUGAGUCCAUUGACCUGAGAAAGAAUAUUCUAGGAAGUAUAUGUUAUGAAUGAGCUUGCAGUACAAUAUGACAACUCAGUGAUUUACCUUGGAUGGAGGCAGAUCACGUAUCACAAAUGGAUGUAAUCACAGUCAUGCUAUUUACUGGCUGUCGUGCUGCUCUUGAAAGACUGGGGUGAAGUGAAGUUUUCUUCUCGAGUUGUUGCAGGUAUUUUGCUGUAACAAAAUUGAGUGGAAUGCAUUCCCUUUACCACACUAUUUCUGCACUGAGAAUGUUACUGUUUUGGGAACCAGGUAUUUUAUAAAAAUAAGUUUUGAAAACAAAACAAACUACCUGUUCUAGUCAGCAUCUUUGUAUGUACAAGCCUAUUGCCUUAUGCAUUUAUGCUUAGAUUUUGUUGAUGCUGAUCAAGCAGUAUUUUGAAAGAUAUGUCAGAAGAUUUUCAAAAAUCAAAUUUUGACCAUUUUCUAAGAAAAACCGAAUGCAGUGGGUAAUAUAAUCUUUGAUCAUAACACUCUAAAUGAUAAGAGGAAAUGUAUCCUUAUGUUUUAAGGGUUAAGUGACAAUUUUUGAACUAGAUGUAGUUUUAUUAAGAACAAAAUACAUUUUUGUGGCCUGAAAGAUGCUUGGAGGCUUUUAGAGGAAAGUUUAUCACCAUAUCAAGUAGCAAACAAUACAGAAGAAGACAGACUAUCAAAUGAAGCAAGAAAUAACACCAUUAUGUAAGAUGUCAAAAAUCUCUGCUAUAUUUGACAUAGUGAGGAAUAUGAUUGGACUGUUUGAUAUUUUCUGUUUGACCUUUUUACUCAAUAAAUUUGUGCAAGUUU
Molecule: long non-coding RNA, 2400 nt
Organism: Coturnix japonica (Japanese quail)
Lineage: Eukaryota; Metazoa; Chordata; Aves; Galliformes; Phasianidae
Source: RefSeq, a predicted model, not a curated record